Molecule: long non-coding RNA, 464 nt
Organism: Rhagoletis zephyria (snowberry fruit fly)
Lineage: Eukaryota; Metazoa; Arthropoda; Insecta; Diptera; Tephritidae
Source: RefSeq, a predicted model, not a curated record
GUCUUUCUUAGCUUCUACGGCAAACUACAUAACACCACCCGAUUGCUGCUUUAAAAAAUGAACAAUAAAUUCAAUUUGCUAAUUUUGCUCCUUUUGUGCUUCGUUGCGUUCAUAACAGCUUUACCGCAGAGAGGUUGGCGCCCCUGUCCACUCGAUCAAGAGUUCACAAGAUGUGGCUCCGCCUGUCCACCAAGAUGUGAUGACCGAGGUGAGCCGAGGAUCUGUACACUUCAAUGUGUAGUUGGUUGUCAAUGCAGACCUGGCAAUGUGUUGAACAGCGCUGGGCGGUGUGUAGACCCAAGCAAAUGUUAGCUGAAUUAAAAGGUGAUCAAGGAGAUUGCAUAAAUCAUACGCGAUUGGGUUACUAAUUAUGUAGGAAAACGCAAAAAUUUUAUGGAUAUGCAGCUGAUAUUGAAUAAAACGUGACCGAAAAUAUUGCAAGUGAAUAUAAUUUCUUAAAUGGA